GACGAACGCUGGCGGCGUGCUUAACACAUGCCAGUCGAACGGAAAGGCCCCUUCUGGGGUCCUCGAGUGGCGCACGGUUGCGUAACACGUGAGUAACCUGCCCUUGACUUCGGGAUAACUUCAGGAAACUGGGGCUAAUACCGGAUAGGAAUCCUUGCUGCAUGGUGGGGGUUGGAAAGCUUCGGCGGUUUUGGAUGGACUCGCGGCUUAUCAGCUUGUUGGUGGGGUAGUGGCUUACCAAGGCUUUGACGGGUAUCCGGACUGAGAGGGCGACCGGCCACAUUGGGACUGAGAUACGGCCCAGACUCCUACGGGAGGCAGCAGGGGGGAAUAUUGCACAAUGGGCGGAAGCCUGAUGCAGCAACGCCGCGUGCGGGAUGACGGCCUUCGGGUUGUAAACCGCUUUCAGCAGGGGCGAAGCUUGUGGUGACGGUACCUGCAGAAGAAGCACCGGCUAACUACGUG
RNAcentral lists this ribosomal RNA (465 nucleotides) under uncultured bacterium. Its description in RNAcentral is "partial 16S ribosomal RNA". It matches the Rfam family "Bacterial small subunit ribosomal RNA", at positions 28 to 507 of the family's 1533-position model. The record is from RNAcentral.